This 66-nucleotide transfer RNA is filed under the name Saccostrea cuccullata (small rock oyster). Its description in RNAcentral is "Saccostrea cucullata (small rock oyster) tRNA-Cys". The record is from RNAcentral. RNAcentral also lists the same sequence under 1 other name. Lineage: Eukaryota; Metazoa; Mollusca; Bivalvia; Ostreida; Ostreidae.
GGCAGGGUAGUUUAUUAUAGAACAGUAAAUUGCAAAUUUGAAAGUACAUACACUUUGUUUCUGUCU